GACUGAGUAACUGUCAUUUUUUUGACUGACGACUGGCAAUCACUUUCUAACAGGCAAGAGAGAAUUGAUGGUUUCUUUCCCAGUGAAUCACUUGCCGAAUGGAUUGAUCCUGAGUUAUAGCUGAACAGAAUGAAAUGUGACCACUGAGAUGCAAUUCUUCCUGUAACAUAAACACAGAUAAUUCAGACUAAAUACCUUGGUGUAGGAGGCCACAAUGAAGAGGAAUAAACACCAGACCAGGAAUGAAGAGACUGGAUUCUGACACUAUGCUAUGCGUAUGUCCUUAGUUAACUCUUGCUGAUUCUUCUGAUCUCAGCUGAAUCGUCUCUGUGGCAGAGAGACUUCCUUGACAUUUAUGAUCAGAUUAUAUCAAAAGGAAACUCAGAGACUGAUAUGAAUAUUAAUAGAAGUAUUUUUACCUGUGGUGCUUGCAAGAGAAUCCAACCUUUGGAAGAACUGGACUUCAUAUAUAAAUAAUUUGGCAUUGGGCUACAACCUGAGGAUACAAUGGUGAGAAGAAUGAAACUCAGAAUGGAGGGAAGGAUUAUAUAAAGAACAUGGAUGAAUCCACAACCCAGCUUUAAUCAGGAAGACAAAAAAACCGCAAAUGAUGGUGCACGAUAAGGAGAAAGACACCUGUAUCUGUGAAUGACCAUUUGGAGCAGACUAACCUCCUGACCACAAAAAGCUGAAAUUUUCA
RNAcentral lists this long non-coding RNA (700 nucleotides) under Equus caballus (horse). RNAcentral's name for it is "lncRNA (ENSECAG00000058669.1)". Lineage: Eukaryota; Metazoa; Chordata; Mammalia; Perissodactyla; Equidae. The record is from RNAcentral.